Molecule: long non-coding RNA, 440 nt
Filed under: Gossypium barbadense (sea-island cotton)
Lineage: Eukaryota; Viridiplantae; Streptophyta; Magnoliopsida; Malvales; Malvaceae
Description: long non-coding RNA (GBAR_LNC011730)
Source: RNAcentral
CCGGACAUGGGAGGGCUCUCUUGGCUGCUGAAUUUGCUAUUUUUAGCAGCCCUCUUCAGCUAUAAAAGCCACCCUACGCUGCCCAUUUCAAAGCAUCCCUCAACAUCCCUCAUUCCACAACAUUCUCUCAUCCUCUCUUCACUUCUCUCAAAGUUUCCUCUCCAUUUUUCCAUCCCAUUUUUCCUUCCUCUUGUGCCGAUUUCCUUUCUUGAGAAAGAGGUGUUCUUUAGCCAUCUUGGGCAGCAAUCAAGGAUUCAUAGAAGCCUUGCUCGGUGAAGACAACGGAGACUAAGAACGGAGCAACAGUCAAGCUGCAGAGAAACACUGGAUUUGCUUUUUGUUCCCUUUCUUUUUAAUUUCUGUUGUUUUUAUGAUGAACAUAUCUAUGAAAAAUAUUGUUGUUGAAAUGGUUAUUUUAAUCAAUUUAGCUUGAAUUUAAU